UGGAAAAGUGAGUUCCUGUUUAGAUGACC
This 29-nucleotide non-coding RNA is filed under the name Rattus norvegicus (Norway rat). Lineage: Eukaryota; Metazoa; Chordata; Mammalia; Rodentia; Muridae. The record is from RNAcentral.